RNAcentral lists this long non-coding RNA (213 nucleotides) under Gossypium barbadense (sea-island cotton). Its description in RNAcentral is "long non-coding RNA (GBAR_LNC022978)". The record is from RNAcentral. Lineage: Eukaryota; Viridiplantae; Streptophyta; Magnoliopsida; Malvales; Malvaceae.
UUUUUUCAUUCCCGGCCACCAAUAUAGUUGUUUCAAAUCGUUAUACAUUUUCGUACUCCCCAGAUGUAUAGAAAAUCUACUACUUUGACCUUCUUUCAAAAUCAUCCGAAUCAACUCCGAAUUUCUCGGAACACAAAGUCUAUUUCUGAACCUCAGACAAUCAUCAACAUCUAUCUAGAAUUCAAAAUCAGAAUAAAAAAUACACUGAGUUCG